Molecule: long non-coding RNA, 848 nt
Organism: Ochotona curzoniae (black-lipped pika)
Lineage: Eukaryota; Metazoa; Chordata; Mammalia; Lagomorpha; Ochotonidae
Exons: 3
Source: RefSeq, a predicted model, not a curated record
GUGGUUCAGGCAAAAUGCACAUCCUGAAGGUGGUGGGUUUGGAGCUGGGAUGAAUCUGCCCACCUGUUCGCAGCUCUGCCCCAGGAUUCCUCGGAUCUGGCUGAAGUCACUCUCCCUGUUGACGCAGACGUGCUUGAAGCUGAGCUAAAGAACACCUUACCCCCUAGCCUGGCAUGCCUAGCUUUCAGGACUUGGCAAUGGAAAUGACUGACCUCUGGUCUCGCUUUUCUGCUUUUCAGUGCAUGAGGUGAAGAUCCAGAUGCAGGAAAGCCUGACCUUGCUGAGGAAGCCCUGCCUCUCCCACUCCACCUGAAGCUAAGAAUGCUGCACAGCCUUGGGAAGGUUUGAGCCUGGUUGCUCUCAGUUCUUCCCAGCGUGGAUGCGUUCCUGCCUUUCCCAGCCUGCAGGAGUCAGAGGGCGCUGUGCAAGCACACUGAGUCAAGGCCCAGUGGUGAUGGUGGCAGCAGUGGUUGGCCAUGGAUGAGGCUGGUGGCCCUGAGGAAGACUGCUGGCCCUGCACCUGAGGGAAGAGGUGUCAAAAGUCAAAAAGAAGGACUUUGAGCACUUGCUGAUAGAGGUGAUGCAGAUGUGGGACUUUCUGCUCAGGAUCCUCAAUCAGGAAGUCCUGGAGAGUUGCUCCAAGUUGAAGAUUGUCAACAAAUUGAGUCUCCCUGCAUCCCUAGUGGGCAUCAGCUCGGGGGUGUGUAAUUCAUUCAUUGCUGGUUCAGCCUAGAUGAGCAGCUACUAAGGAGUCCAGCAAGCAAGCAUUGCAUGCCACAUUCUCUCAGCCACUUCUUCAGUAGAGUUUUCUGGGUCCUGAUCUGUACAGAGGGACAGGCAAUGGGCAG